This 503-nucleotide ribosomal RNA is filed under the name uncultured bacterium. RNAcentral describes it as "partial 16S ribosomal RNA". It matches the Rfam family "Bacterial small subunit ribosomal RNA", at positions 30 to 523 of the family's 1533-position model. The record is from RNAcentral.
AUUGAACGCUGGCGGCAGGCUUAACACAUGCAAGUCGAGCGGGGUGAUGGUGCUUGCACUAUCACUUAGCGGCGGACGGGUGAGUAAUGCUUAGGAAUCUGCCUAUUAGUGGGGGACAACAUCUCGAAAGGGAUGCUAAUACCGCAUACGUCCUACGGGAGAAAGCAGGGGAUCACUUGUGACCUUGCGCUAAUAGAUGAGCCUAAGUCGGAUUAGCUAGUUGGUAGGGUAAAGGCCUACCAAGGCGACGAUCUGUAGCGGGUCUGAGAGGAUGAUCCGCCACACUGGGACUGAGACACGGCCCAGACUCCUACGGGAGGCAGCAGUGGGGAAUAUUGGACAAGGGGGGGAACCCUGGUCCAGCCAUGCCGCGUGUGUGAAGAAGGCCUUAUGGUUGUAAAGCACUUUAAGCGAGGAGGAGGCUCUUUUGGUUAAUACCCAAGAUGAGUGGACGUUACUCGCAGAAUAAGCACCGGCUAACUCUGUGCCAGCCGCCGCGGUAA